This 490-nucleotide ribosomal RNA is filed under the name uncultured bacterium. RNAcentral's name for it is "partial 16S ribosomal RNA". It matches the Rfam family "Bacterial small subunit ribosomal RNA", at positions 28 to 507 of the family's 1533-position model. The record is from RNAcentral.
GAUGAACGCUAGCGGCAGGCCUAAUACAUGCAAGUCGAACGGGAUCCAGAUCAAAGCUUGCUUUGGUCUGGUGAGAGUGGCGCACGGGUGCGUAACGCGUGAGCAACCUACCCUUGUCAGGGGGAUAGCCCGGCGAAAGUCGGAUUAAUACCGCAUGACAUCAUUGAGAGGCAUCUUUCGAUGAUCAAAGAUUUAUCGGACAAGGAUGGGCUCGCGUGACAUUAGCUAGUUGGUAAGGUAACGGCUUACCAAGGCUGCGAUGUCUAGGGGCUCUGAGAGGAGAAUCCCCCACACUGGUACUGAGACACGGACCAGACUCCUACGGGAGGCAGCAGUAAGGAAUAGUGGUCAAUGGACGGAAGUCUGAACCAGCCAUGCCGCGUGCAGGAGGACGGCCCUAUGGGUUGUAAACUGCUUUUAUACGGGAACAAACGUCGGUACGUGUACCGGUCUGAGUGUACCGUAAGAAUAAGGAUCGGCUAACUCCGUG